This 339-nucleotide ribosomal RNA is filed under the name uncultured soil bacterium. RNAcentral's name for it is "bacterial SSU rRNA". It matches the Rfam family "Bacterial small subunit ribosomal RNA", at positions 26 to 371 of the family's 1533-position model. The record is from RNAcentral.
AGAGUGAACGCUGGCGGCAGGCCUAACACAUGCAAGUCGAGCGGCAGCGGGUCCUUCGGGAUGCCGGCGAGCGGCGGACGGGUGAGUAAGGCAUCGGAAUCUGCCCUGUUGUGGGGGAUAACGUAGGGAAACUUACGUUAAUACUGCAUACGACCUACGGGUGAAAGCGGGGGACCUUCGGGCCUCGCGCAGCAGGAUGAGCCGAUGUCCGAUUAGCUAGUUGGUGGGUAAAGCCCACAAGGCGACGAUCGGUAGCCGGUCUGAGAGGAUGAUCGGCCACACUGGGACUGAGACACGGCCCAGACUCCUACGGGAGCAGCAGUGGGGAAUAUUGGACAA